AUACGGAGGAUCCGAGCGUUAUCCGGAUUUAUCGGGUUUAAAGGGUGCGCAGGCGGGAGAUUAAGUCGGCGGUGAAAUUUUGCAGCUCAACUGUAAAAGUGCCUUCGAAACUGGGUUCCUUGAGUGUAGAUGAAGUAGGCGGAAUUUGUGGUGUAGCGGUGAAAUGCAUAGAUAUCACGAGGAACUCCGAUUGCGCAGGCAGCUUACUAAACUACUACUGACGCUCAGGCACGAAGGCGUGGGGAUCAAACAGGAUUAGAUACCCUGGUAGUCCACGCAGUAAACGAUGAUUACUAGCUGUUUGCGAUACAAUGUAAGCGGCUGAGCGAAAGCGUUAAGUAAUCCUCCUGGGGAGUACGUUCGCAAGAAUGAAACUCAAAUGAAUUGACGG
RNAcentral lists this ribosomal RNA (391 nucleotides) under uncultured bacterium. RNAcentral describes it as "partial 16S ribosomal RNA". It matches the Rfam family "Bacterial small subunit ribosomal RNA", at positions 523 to 916 of the family's 1533-position model. The record is from RNAcentral.